UUUUGACGUUUUUUCGUACUUUUUUGGGUCAUUUUCAAAUUUCGUGCUUUUUUCGUGCUGUAGACACCCUGGAACUCAAGCAUAUUUCCCUUAAUUUACCAAAGCAUCAGAUGAAAGGCAAGUAAGUACCAUUAUUGUUGUUUUUUCUUUUAUUUUCGGCGAUGGAAAAAAUUUUCCGCAAAUGAAAAAAAGCAGCAAAAUACCCAGACGAGGAUUAUUUACAUGACCAAUGUUUGGAGCAUGGAACAAAACAAAAUUUAUACACCUCAACACGUUUUAAUAAUAGUAAACUAUGCAUAUUUACGACUUCCCAGAUAAUCGCACUUCACAAAUUAUUAUAGACAAGGAACCCACUAAAUUUAAAUCACGUUGACAGUCGAAAGAUUUCAAAAUUCCUAUUUGUUCACUAGCAAAGAAAGUGUUCGGUAGUAAGUAUAUUUGCUUAUUUUCCCGAUAAAUAUGAGUUCUACAAAUAGUUUGCUGAAUUCAUUUGCUGUAUUUUUCACGUCAAUUCAGCUCCUUUUAGCUCAUUGGGAACCUGACUUGGAAAAUAGUAACGAUUUUUUAGGAUAUUUCUUGAAUUUGAGAUAUAAGCCAAUUUCAGUCAACGCAAUUACAUACUACCUAGUUAAUUAUUGUCAAUAGGAGUCACCAAAUCAUGUUGAUGGAAAAAAGUAAGUACAUAAGUAAAAUAUUUAUGCACCACUUACUUAUCUAUUUUUUUGAGAGAUAGAGAGAGAGAUAGAUAGCUUCUAUUAUUCGGUGUCACUUUUGGCUCAAAAAACAGGAAUCUGAAAAGCUUGUGGUCACAAAAGUUGCCAUUUGGUUUCAAAUCAACGUGGUCGACUUCAGGUUAAUCCCUACCACAGGUGGUUCAAAAUUUCACAUUUUUGGGUAAUAUUCCACUUCGGCGUGAAUUUUAAAAAUUGAAAUAAAAUUGUAUUUUCCAAUGCUUUAAUCGCGACAAGUUGUCCUCCUAAUAACUUAAAACAUUUUCAUUCAAUUAGAAAUCACAUAGAUAGGUAAUCAAGGGUUCCUAAAAUAUGACAAUUUGGAUCUAAAAUUAGCACAUAUUCAAGAAAUACUGUCUCGUGGUAUGAAUUUCACAUAAGGGGUGUUUGAGGAUCAACAUUAGACCCCUCUUCAGUAGGUACUCAUUUAUCUACAUACAUCGAAUUACUCAAUUUAUGUCAUUUUUAGCUGAAUGAAAUUUAGGUUUCAGGUCAUCAAGUGGAUAAACUGGUCGUGAUUAAAACAUCAAAAAGACAAUUAGGUAUCUCAUUUUCAAAAAUUUUCAACGAAGUGGUAAAAUGGCCGAAAAUGAGAUGUUUCAAACCAUUUGCGGUAAGGAUUAACAUCGACUUUUUACAGCCCAAAUUUUCAUUACGUUCAUUUAAAAACAAAUGGUAAUUGUGAGCUUCUUUAUUUACCUUGAAUUAAAUUGUUGGUUUUUGUAAUUCCAAAAAAAUGUAACGAAAAGUAAUUAGCAAAAUUCACAAAGAAAUCAGUAACUAGCAAUUACUAAAAAUUCUUACAUUCCCCCUCCCUAUAUCUAUAGUUACAGUUGUUGUUGUGUCACUACGAAAGAUCUUUUUAUCAAAAUUUCUAGGUAGUAAGAUAAUAUUGUGUUUUUAUGUUCUGUUUUAUUAUUAGCAUAUUAAAGUAUUUGCAUUUGUUUCUUGUUUAUUUUGAAGUAUUCCUUUUCUUCAUCAUCUUUGUAAUGUGCAAUUAACCCUACAUGUUUCAUAUUACUUCCUUGUAGGUAAGUAUGUAUUUUUUGUAUUACACAUUACUUCUUUAUACACAUAGGUAUUAAUUUAAUUUGAUUUUAUUGAUUAUAAUUCUUCUAAUAAGUAUUUUACAAAAGUUUAUGAUUUAGGUAUUUGAUUCAACAAUGUUGAUGUUUGCGCAGAUGAAGAAGAUUCAAUCUUCUAGCAGUACAGUCGCUUUUAUACAUCCUGCACAACUUCUAAUUUAGUAUAGUAAUUCAAGACUAAUAAUUCGAAAUUUUUCAUCUAUCCUGUAUUUUAAUUUGUUCACUGGCCAGAUCUAUCAAUGUCCAAGUCUUGAUUAAAGCUUCAUGAAUCAUGAUUGAAAAAGUUGAAAAUGACGUAUUUUACACCUCAUUUUACCACGGAGACUAAAUCAAUAUAAUGACAGGAAUUGUGUAAAGGGUGUUGAAAAUUAAUCUGCUCUGCUGUCAACGGCAUUAUAUCAUCACUCCACAAUAAGACAUGAAUUUGAAAAUUAUCUCACUAAACCAGCCAAUUUUCAAAACCUACAAUAUUGUUGACUCUGAGUGCUGAAAAAUAUCACCAGGUAUACUAGUGAGUAUGAAAACUUGAUUAUUGAUUUCAUCUUCAAAUAAAAUCCUAAAUCUAUUAAUUUUGUUUUACAGCCUGCAGCCUGUGAGCUAUCAAUGAAUAGAAGACAAAGACAGACUUUGAUGAUAAGAGUAUCAUCAUACAUGGGAAGAUGAUUUUUUUUUUUUUGAAUUAUUGCAAAAUACUUAGGUUUUAAAAUAAUGUCUGUGAUUUUUUUUUUAUUUAAGAGUUAUCUGUUGUUUUUGUAAAUGUUGGCCAAUCUGAGUUGCAAGCGUUUAAUUAAUUUUAUAUUUGUAGGAGGAAACAAUCCCGCAGCUGCCUGCAGCUUUUGAAAUUCCCGAUGAAUUAUUUGUAAUUGACAAACGAUGCUUGAAUAUUACCCCGAAGUUUUAGGUAAGAGCUUUGUAAUCAUAUUGUUUAGCGGAUUUAUUCUCAAGGUUUUCAUUUUGUAAGUUCAAAAUAGCAGACAGAUCAAUACAAAAUCUGUAGGCUACAGGCAAACAGACACUGUGCAGUGCGCAGAGUGCAUUAAUCUGAAAUGCAGAGAUUCUGUUUUCAACAAUUAUAUUCAUGGUUUUGAGAACUCUACUUUUGGUUCACAUCCACAUCGGGUUAUUUUUGACAUUUUUCAUAUUUGUUUGUAAAAAAUGUUAUAUCAGCAGUAAAUGUACCAAUGAUAAUGGACCACCUUUUUGUAUACCAUACAAAGCGUACUUAGGUGAAUUCAAUAUUUCUGAAAACAUCAAUAAGGCAUCCUGUAAAAAUACAAAGAGUUAUGCAACAUAUUUGAACAAUGAAACAUUUUUCUACUUGAAAAAGGAGAAGUACAUGUGAUAUAUAAGUUAUAGAUACAACCCACAAAUCACAAUCAAAUCCAUGUAAUAAAUUGAAAUGUUUGUUUUAGAAUCAUUUGAGUGGCACCAUAUCAACCACCCACAUGACAAUUUCUAGGAAGAUUGAAGAACUGCAUUCCUACUGCUACUGCCCAACUGAGUUUAAAUGUCUUAGCCAUUGUCUAGCAUUUCAAAAUGGAAGGCCACUGAAUUCAGACAUUUUUUGCUGUACUACAGAACAGAUGUAAUUAUACAUCUACUCCUUCCACUGCCACGCCCUCUACAUAGAAAUUGCAAAAGAGCCUCACAAAUGGUUAACCAGCAUAGAGCAUAUGUAACCUUUUGUAAUCACCAUUAAGUAAGUAAUCUUUUUCUUUAUUAUCUUGUAAUAUAUAUAAAAGUACCUAAUCAAAAUUAUAGUUCCAUAUUAACUAUGGUACUUCCUUGUUUUUGUAUAUAUUAUUAUUUUUCAAGUCUACUCUGAAAACAUCAUAUAAGAAGAACACCUUGCCACAAUAUUCAUGUCUCAAAGUAAAUAUUCUUUUUCUUUAUCAUCUUGCAAUAUGCAAUCAAAGUUAUAGCUUCACAUCUCUUCCUUGUUCUUACAUUAUUAGGUAUUUUUUUCAACGAUUUUUAUUUUUGAUUUGUCUACUUCAAUUGUAUUUGUAUUUGUUUGUCAAACUUUUAUAUUAAUUCUGUGUCCAUGAAAGCAAAAAUUCAAGCUUGUUUGAACAGUACAAAUAUAUUGAAAAUUUGUUUAAGCCCUAUAUGAAGGGCAUCAGAUAAUAAAUCUCUCGUCAUAAUAUUCUCCUCUCAAAGUAAGUAUGCUUUUUCUUUAUUAUCUCGCAAUAUGUAAUCUCAAAGUUAUAGUUUCAUAUUACCUCAUUGUUUCUGUAUUAUUAGGUACCUACCAACUAUAAAAUGAAUUAUUUUGAGAGAAUGAUAAUAUUCCCAUUCAGCUGGCAAAGGCAUUAAUACUCCAAAAGUAAUGAAUUUGCGGAUAAAACAUUUGUGAUAAUGUAGUCAAACACACAAUCUUUCUCAAUAUGGUCUAGAAGAGGAACAACCUAGCUAGGAGACAGUGAAGAUGAAGUUGCCUAUUUUUUUAAAAAUAAUGUAUAAGGGAUGAUUAAUAAGUAAGUUACACUCACACACCAUAUCUGCACAUUUGAACCUACAAACUCCAAUCUUGCUUCAAAUAAAACCUGUAGCAUCCCUUGUGGUGCAGUGAGUACAAUUUAUGCAAAGACCACCAUGACCGAAUCAGUGGUUCCUUUUCACACUAUGUUAUUAUUAUAAGUUUGUAGCAGAUGUUUCUAACAUCUUUAUGUAGAUGUAUAAUAAUUGCAUAUACUCUUAUAUCUGUAUUAAACUUUUUGAAAUUAUUA
Molecule: long non-coding RNA, 4545 nt
Organism: Planococcus citri (citrus mealybug)
Lineage: Eukaryota; Metazoa; Arthropoda; Insecta; Hemiptera; Pseudococcidae
Exons: 3
Source: RefSeq, a predicted model, not a curated record